CCUACGGGAGGCAGCAGUGAGGAAUAUUGCACAAUGGGCGCGAGCCUGAACCAGCGAAGUAGCGUGAAGGAUGACUGCCCUCCGGGUUGUAAGCUCCUUUUAUAAGGGAAUAAAGUGAGGCACGUGUGCCUUUUGGUCUGUAUUUUAUGAAUACGGAUCGGCUAACUCCGUGCCAGCAGCCGCGGUAAUACGGAGGAUCCGAGCGUUAUCCGGAUUUAUUGGGUUGAAGGGGAGCGUAGAUGGGUUGUUAAGUCAGUUGUGAAAGUUUGGGGCUCAACCGUAAAAUUGCAAUUGAUACUGGCAGCCUUGAGUACAGUUGAGGUAGGCGGAAUUCGUGGUGUAGCGGUGAAAUGCUUAGAUAUCAGGAAGAACACCGAUGGCGAAGGCAGCCUACUAAACGGCCACUGACAUUGAGGCUCGAAAGUGUGGGGAUCAAACAGGAUUAGAUACCCCAGAAGUC
Molecule: ribosomal RNA, 460 nt
Filed under: uncultured bacterium
Lineage: Bacteria
Description: partial 16S ribosomal RNA
Rfam family: Bacterial small subunit ribosomal RNA
Source: RNAcentral